RNAcentral lists this transfer RNA (85 nucleotides) under Niastella sp. HX-2-15. Its description in RNAcentral is "tRNA-Leu". It matches the Rfam family "tRNA". Rfam says of the family: Transfer RNA (tRNA) molecules are approximately 80 nucleotides in length. Their secondary structure includes four short double-helical elements and three loops (D, anti-codon, and T loops). Lineage: Bacteria; Pseudomonadati; Bacteroidota; Chitinophagia; Chitinophagales; Chitinophagaceae. The record is from RNAcentral.
GCGCAUGUGGUGAAAUUGGUAGACACGUCAGACUUAGGAUCUGAUGCCGCGAGGUGUGGGGGUUCGAGUCCCUCCAUGCGCACCC